AUUAAUUCAAAGAAGGAUCUGAGUACCUUAUAGUCCAUCCUGAUGAGCAUUGCUCGGAUAGAGAGGAAUUCCAUGGCUGAAAGAAUUCCAGGGUGAAGGAUAAGGGAAAGCUAAUCCGGAGAGCAGGGUAAAAUCCUGCCGGUUUGCACCGUUAAUGCAAUCUGAGAGAUGAUGGAGUUUUUCUGUCAUAAUCAGGGUGGUACCGCGAGAACACUCUCGUCCCUGUU
RNAcentral lists this non-coding RNA (227 nucleotides) under Bacillus sp. (in: firmicutes). RNAcentral describes it as "Bacillus sp. T-box sequence". It matches the Rfam family "T-box leader". Rfam says of the family: Uncharged tRNA acts as the effector for transcription antitermination of genes in the T-box leader family. T-boxes are found upstream of many aminoacyl-tRNA synthetase genes and some amino acid biosynthetic genes usually in Gram-positive bacteria. Lineage: Bacteria; Bacillati; Bacillota; Bacilli; Caryophanales; Bacillaceae. The record is from RNAcentral.